This 253-nucleotide ribosomal RNA is filed under the name uncultured bacterium. Its description in RNAcentral is "partial 16S ribosomal RNA". It matches the Rfam family "Bacterial small subunit ribosomal RNA", at positions 524 to 776 of the family's 1533-position model. The record is from RNAcentral.
UACGUAGGGGGCGAGCGUUGUCCGGAAUUAUUGGGCGUAAAGAGCUCGUAGGCGGUUUGUCGCGUCGACUGUGAAAACCCGAGGCUUAACCUCGGGCCUGCAGUCGAUACGGGCAGACUAGAGUUCGGUAGGGGAGACUGGAAUUCCUGGUGUAGCGGUGAAAUGCGCAGAUAUCAGGAGGAACACCGGUGGCGAAGGCGGGUCUCUGGGCCGAUACUGACGCUGAGGAGCGAAAGCGUGGGGAGCGAACAGG